This is a non-coding RNA of Drosophila melanogaster (fruit fly), 604 nucleotides long. Lineage: Eukaryota; Metazoa; Arthropoda; Insecta; Diptera; Drosophilidae. The record is from Ensembl.
CCUAUAUCAACUAGAAAAUAUUUGGAUUCAAAAAAAAAAUUUUAUUUUUAUUUUUUUUAAUAUUCGUUGAAAAUAAAUUUAUUUAUCGUUUAUUUCAAUAGAGAUUCUAGUUCAUUUGGUUAUUGUGGAGCAAACAUAUGCAACGCAGUGAAGAUGUUAUCACAAGAUGGUAUUUCCGAGCCAAUGGAUCUUUGAGCUAGAUGGUAUCUUCAGCAAUUUCCACCGAGCAGCUUGGACAAUUAAUAUGUAGUUUAUGGAUCCUCUUUCAAUGAAUUUAGUAUGCCCAAACUCGAAGGAGUUUCACCUCCAUAAGAGCGACAGUCCUGGAGAAGUUAUCAGAGCCAAAAAAAUUCAUAUGAUGAUGCAUUUUCCGUCUCUGAAAACGUCUUCAGCAGAAGUUGUUUUUAGCGAAGUGAAACUCAUUCGAUUUUGAUCAUACUAACGACAUUGGAUGCUUGGAUCGGCAGUUUGGUGGAAUAUAAAUACCAAGACCCUAAGACUGAUGACGUACCUGCUAAUGAAGAUGAUGGAGAUAUACUUGCAUGCCAAUUCAAUAAGUUAUAAGCACCCAAUAUAAUAAAAUUCAAAUAUUUAUAUUAAAUAC